CCUACGGGUGGCAGCAGUGAGGAAUAUUGGUCAAUGGGCGCGAGCCUGAACCAGCCAAGUCGCGUGAGGGAAGACGGUCCUAUGGAUUGUAAACCUCUUUUGUCGGGGAGCAAAAGACGCCACGCGUGGCGUUCCGAGAGUACCCUAAGAACAAGCAUCGGCUAACUCCGUGCCAGCAGCCGCGGUAAUACGGAGGAUGCGAGCGUUAUCCGGAUUUAUUGGGUUUAAAGGGUGCGCAGGCGGAAGAUCAAGUCAGCGGUAAAAUUGAGAGGCUCAACCUCUUCGAGCCGUUGAAACUGGUGUUCUUGAGUGAGCGAGAAGUAUGCGGAAUGCGUGGUGUAGCGGUGAAAUGCAUAGAUAUCACGCAGAACUCCGAUUGCGAAGGCAGCAUACCGGCGCUCAACUGACGCUCAUGCACGAAAGUGUGGGUAUCGAACAGGAUUAGAUACCCCAGUAGUC
RNAcentral lists this ribosomal RNA (459 nucleotides) under uncultured bacterium. Its description in RNAcentral is "partial 16S ribosomal RNA". It matches the Rfam family "Bacterial small subunit ribosomal RNA", at positions 338 to 795 of the family's 1533-position model. The record is from RNAcentral.